This 495-nucleotide ribosomal RNA is filed under the name uncultured bacterium. RNAcentral describes it as "partial 16S ribosomal RNA". It matches the Rfam family "Bacterial small subunit ribosomal RNA", at positions 29 to 507 of the family's 1533-position model. The record is from RNAcentral.
AUGAACGCUGGCGGCGUGCCUAAUACAUGCAAGUCGAGCGAACGGACGAGAAGCUUGCUUCUCUGAUGUUAGCGGCGGACGGGUGAGUAACACGUGGAUAACCUACCUAUAAGACUGGGAUAACUUCGGGAAACCGGAGCUAAUACCGGAUGAUAUUUUGAACCGCAUGGUUCAAAAGUGAAAGACGGUCUUGCUGUCACUUAUAGAUGGAUCCGCGCUGCAUUAGCUAGUUGGUAAGGUAACGGCUUACCAAGGCAACGAUGCAUAGCCGACCUGAGAGGGUGAUCGGCCACACUGGAACUGAGACACGGUCCAGACUCCUACGGGAGGCAGCGUAGGGAAUCUUCCGCAAUGGGCGAAAGCCUGACGGAGCAACGCCGCGUGAGUGAUGAAGGUCUUCGGAUCGUAAAACUCUGUUAUUAGGGAAGAACAUAUGUGUAAGUAACUGUGCACAUCUUGACGGUACCUAAUCAGAAAGCCACGGCUAACUACGUG